AGUGAACGCUGGCGGUAGGCCUAACACAUGCAAGUCGAACGGCAGCACAUGAGAGCUUGCUCUCUGGGUGGCGAGUGGCGGACGGGUGAGGAAUACAUCGGAAUCUACUCUGUCGUGGGGGAUAAGGUAGGGAAACUUACGCUAAUACCGCAUACGACCUACGGGUGAAAGCAGGGGACCUUCGGGCCUUGCGCGAUUGAAUGAGCCGAUGUCGGAUUAGCUAGUUGGCGGGGUAAAGGCCCACCAAGGCGACGAUCCGUAGCUGGUCUGAGAGGAUGAUCAGCCACACUGGAACUGAGACACGGUCCAGACUCCUACGGGAGGCAGCAGUGGGGAAUAUUGGACAAUGGGCGCAAGCCUGAUCCAGCCAUACCGCGUGGGUGAAGAAGGCCUUCGGGUUGUAAAGCCCUUUUGUUGGGAAAGAAAUCCAGCUGGCUAAUACCCGGUUGGGAUGACGGUACCCAAGGAAUAAGCACCGGCUAACUUCGUGCCAGCCGCCGCCGUAA
Molecule: ribosomal RNA, 506 nt
Filed under: uncultured bacterium
Lineage: Bacteria
Description: partial 16S ribosomal RNA
Rfam family: Bacterial small subunit ribosomal RNA
Source: RNAcentral